Molecule: long non-coding RNA, 1387 nt
Filed under: Mytilus galloprovincialis (Mediterranean mussel)
Lineage: Eukaryota; Metazoa; Mollusca; Bivalvia; Mytilida; Mytilidae
Source: RNAcentral
CUACAAAUAGGUUAAUAUGACCAAAAUUGUCAAUUGACCCCUUAAGGGGUAAAUGUCCUUUAAUGACAAUUUUUCACAAUUUGUUCAUCAUAUUUGCUAACUUUAAAAAAUCUUCUCCUCUGAAACUACUGAAUGGAUUUGGAUGAAACUUAGCAUGAUAGUUCCUUAGAUUAUCCUGCACAAAGUGUGUGCUUUGAUUUUUGAUCCGUCAAAAAACAUGGCCGCCCUUACUUUAAAUAGAACAUAGGGGUCAAAUGCAGUUUUUGGCUUAUAUCUCAAAAACGAAAGCAUUUAGAGCAAAUCUGACAUGGGGUAAAAUGUUCAUUAGGUCAAAAUCUAUCAGCCCUGAAAUUUUCAGACGAAUCAAACAAACCAUUGUUGGGUUGCUGCCACUUAAUUGGUAAUUUUAAGGAAAUUUUGCAGUUUUUAGCUCACCUGGCCUAAAAGGCCAUGUGAGCUUUUCUCAUCACUUGGCGUCCGUCGUCGUCGUCGUCGUUAACAAUUUUUCAAACAUCUUCUCCUCUGAAACUACUGAAUGGAUUUGAAUGAAACUUAGCAUGAUUGUUCCUUAGAGUAUCCUGGACAAAGUGUGUGCUUCGAUUUUUGAUCCGUCAAAAAACAUGGCCGCCGUUACUUAAAAUAGAACAUAGGGGUCAAAUGCAGUUUUUGGCUUAUAUCUCAAAAAUGAAAGCAUUUAGAGCAAAUCUGACAUGGGGUAAAAAUGUUCAUUAGGUCAAGAUCUAUCAGCCCUGAAAUUUUCAGAUGAAUCAAGCAAACCAUUGUUGGGUUGCUGCCACUUAAUUGGUAAUUUUAAGGAAAUUUUGCAGUUUUUGGUCAUUAUCUUGAAUAUUAUUAUAGAUAAAGAUAAACUGUAAACAGCAAAAAUGAUGAUCAGCAAAGUAAGAUCUACAAAUAAGUUAAUAUGACCAAAAUUGUCAAUUGACCCCGUAAGGGGUUAUUGUCCUUUAAUGACAAUUUUCCACAAUUUGUUCAUCAUAUUUGCUAACUUUAAAAAAUCUUCUCCUCUGAAACUGCUGAAUGGAUUUAGAUGAAACUUAGCAUGAUUGUUCCUUAGAUUAUCCUGCACAAAGUGUGUGCUUCGAUUUUUGAUCUGUCAAAAAACAUGGCCGCCGUUACUUAAAAUAGAACAUAGGGGUCAAAUGCAGUUUUUGGCUUAUAUCUCAAAAACGAAAGCAUUUAGAGCAAAUCUGACAUGGGGUAAAAAUGUUCAUUAGGUCAAGAUCUAUCAGCCCUGAAAUUUUCAGAUGAAUCAAACAAACCAUUGUUGGGUUGCUGCCACUUAAUUGGUAAUUUUAAGGAAAUUUUGCAGUUUUUGGUCAUUAUCUUGAAUAUUAUUAUAGAUACAGAUAAACUGUUAAUAGCAAAA